Molecule: small nuclear RNA, 105 nt
Organism: Meriones unguiculatus (Mongolian gerbil)
Lineage: Eukaryota; Metazoa; Chordata; Mammalia; Rodentia; Muridae
Source: Ensembl
GGUCUCUUCAGCAGCUCACAUGCUAAAAUUGGAAAAAUACAGAGCAGAUUAGCACGGCACCUGUGCAAAGAUAACACUCAAAUUUUUGAAGUCUUCCAUAUCAUU